Molecule: ribosomal RNA, 447 nt
Filed under: uncultured bacterium
Lineage: Bacteria
Description: bacterial SSU rRNA
Rfam family: Bacterial small subunit ribosomal RNA
Source: RNAcentral
UCGGGAAUUUUGGGCAAUGGGCGAAAGCCUGACCCAGCAACGCCGCGUGAAGGGUGAAGUAUUUCGGUAUGUAAACUUCGAAAGAAUAGGAAGAAUAAAUGACGGUACUAUUUAUAAGGUCCGGCUAACUACGUGCCAGCAGCCGCGGUAAUACGUAGGGACCAAGCGUUGUUCGGAUUUACUGGGCGUAAAGGGCGCGUAGGCGGCAAUUCAAGUCAUCUGUGAAAUCUCCGGGCUUAACUCGGAACGGUCAGAUGAUACUGCUUUGCUAGAGUGCAGAAGGGGCAAUCGGAAUUCUUGGUGUAGCGGUGAAAUGCGUAGAUAUCAAGAGGAACACCUGAGGUGAAGACGGGUUGCUGGGCUGACACUGACGCUGAGGCGCGAAAGCCAGGGGAGCAAACGGGAUUAGAUACCCCCGUAGUCCCUGAGCGGGCUGGCAAGGCGCAU